AGCCCUUAUACUUAUUGAAGGUGCCGCCUGCCCAAUGACUUUAAGCCCAAAACAUUUAAAUAACAUCGAUUAAAUAAAAACCAGGUUGAAUGGCUGCAGUAACUAUAACUGUAUGAAUGUAGCAUAAUCACUCGCCACUUAAUUGGUGGAUAGUAUGAAUGGCUAAACGAAAAUCUCACUGUCUUAUAAAAUUAUAAAAAAAUUAAAUUAAUAGUUAAGAUGCUAUUUAAAAUUGUAAGACGAAAAGACCCUAUAAAGCUUAACUAUAACUUUUCUUUAAUAUAUUAAAACAAUAAAUCCAUUGAAAAGUAGGUAGUUUCAUUGGGGCGAUGGUCUCUAAAAAAAAACAGAGACGAACAAAGUAAUAAUUAAAAAACUUAUUGUUUAAUACAUACAUUUAACAGUUACAAAGUAGGUUAUCAUGACCCAUUAAAAACUACAAAAAAUUAUUUAAUGAUCAAGAGAUAAAAGCUACUUUAGGGAUAACAGGACAAUCUUGUCAAAGAGUCCGUAUCGAAGACAAGGUUUAUCACCUCGAUGUUGAAUUGAGAUCACCUAACGGUGCAGAAACCGUUGAAGGUAGGUCUGUUCGACCUUAAAAAUCUCA
Molecule: ribosomal RNA, 607 nt
Filed under: Cladocarpus integer
Lineage: Eukaryota; Metazoa; Cnidaria; Hydrozoa; Leptothecata; Aglaopheniidae
Description: partial 16S ribosomal RNA
Rfam family: Bacterial large subunit ribosomal RNA
Source: RNAcentral